GUGAAUCAUCGAAUCUUUGAACGCACAUUGCACCCUCUGGUAUUCUGGAGGGUAUGCCUGUUUGAGUGUCAUUUACAUGCGUCAACACAGACCAAGUUCCACACACGGUGACUUGCUCUGCUGCUUUUGGAUGUUGAAGGCCUGCUGGCGAGCAAGUCAGCUCCUUUUAAAUUCAUUAGCGGGGACAAUUUGCACUUUAGCUGGUCUGCAGUUUGAUAAAUUGAACUGCUGUCCGGUGUGUACCGAGAAGUUCCUGCUUCCAACCGUCCAGUGGAUCUGGACUGGCUCACUCUUUUGAGU
RNAcentral lists this unclassified non-coding RNA (300 nucleotides) under uncultured Agaricales. RNAcentral describes it as "sequence contains 5.8S rRNA gene, ITS2". The stretch from base 1 to 71 matches the Rfam family "5.8S ribosomal RNA", at positions 84 to 154 of the family's 154-position model. The record is from RNAcentral. Lineage: Eukaryota; Fungi; Basidiomycota; Agaricomycetes; Agaricales.